AUUGAACGCUGGCGGCAGGCCUAACACAUGCAAGUCGAACGGCAGCACAGAAGGGCUUGCUCUUUGGGUGGCGAGUGGCGGACGGGUGAGUAAUGUCUGGGAAACUGCCCGAUGGAGGGGGAUAACUACUGGAAACGGUAGCUAAUACCGCAUAACGUCGCAAGACCAAAGUGGGGGACCUUCGGGCCUCACACCAUCGGAUGUGCCCAGAUGGGAUUAGCUAGUAGGUGGGGUAAUGGCUCACCUAGGCGACGAUCCCUAGCUGGUCUGAGAGGAUGACCAGCCACACUGGACCUGAGACACGGUGCAGACUCCUACGGGGGGCGGCAGUGGGGAAUAUUGCACAAUGGGCGCAAGCCUGAUGCAGCCAUGCCGCGUGUAUGAAGAAGGCGUUCGGGUUGUAAAGUACUUUCAGCGGGGAGGAAGGCGGUGAGGUUAAUAACCUCGCCGAUUGACGUUACCCGCAGAAGAAGCACCGGCUAACUCCGUGCCAGCAGCCGCCGUAA
Molecule: ribosomal RNA, 506 nt
Filed under: uncultured bacterium
Lineage: Bacteria
Description: partial 16S ribosomal RNA
Rfam family: Bacterial small subunit ribosomal RNA
Source: RNAcentral